GAUGAACGCUGGCCGCGUGCCUAAUACAUGCAAGUCGAGCGAACGGACGAGAAGCUUGCUUCUCUGAUGUUAGCGGCGGACGGGUGAGUAACACGUGGAUAACCUACCUAUAAGACUGGGAUAACUUCGGGAAACCGGAGCUAAUACCGGAUAAUAUUUUGAACCGCAUGAUUCAAAAGUGAAAGACGGUCUUGCUGUCACUUAUAGAUGGAUCCGCGCUGCAUUAGCUAGUUGGUAAGGUAACGGCUUACCAAGGCAACGAUGCAUAGCCGACCUGAGAGGGUGAUCGGCCACACUGGAACUGAGACACGGUCCAGACUCCUACGGGAGGCAGCAGUAGGGAAUCUUCCGCAAUGGGCGAAAGCCUGACGGAGCAACGCCGCGUGAGUGAUGAAGGUCUUCGGAUCGUAAAACUCUGUUAUUAGGGAAGAACAUAUGUGUAAGUAACUGUGCACAUCUUGACGGUACCUAAUCAGAAAGCCACGGCUAACUACGUG
This 497-nucleotide ribosomal RNA is filed under the name uncultured bacterium. Its description in RNAcentral is "partial 16S ribosomal RNA". It matches the Rfam family "Bacterial small subunit ribosomal RNA", at positions 28 to 507 of the family's 1533-position model. The record is from RNAcentral.